AAGCUCGUAGUUGAAUUUCGGGAUCAAUGGAUUGGUCAUGCCGAUGGUAUGUACUGGUCAUAUUGGUUCUCACCUUCUAAGGAACCAUAAUGUCAUUCAUUUGAUGUUGUGGGGAAUUAGGACUGUUACCUUGAAAAAAUUAGAGUGUUUAAAGCAGGCUAACGCUUGAAUACAUUAGCAUGGAAUAAUGAAAUAGGACAUCGCAUUCUAUUUUGUUGGUUUCUAGGAUCGAUGUAAUGAUUAAUAGGGAUAGUUGGGGGCAUUAGUAUUCAAUUGUCAGAGGUGAAAUUCUUGGAUUUAUUGAAGACUAACUACUGCGAAAGCAUUUGCCAAGGAUGUUUUCAUUAAUCAAGAACGAAAGUUAGGGGAUCGAAGACGAUCAGAUACCGUCGUAGUCUUAACCAUAAACUAUGCCGACUAGGGAUCGGAUGAUGUUGAUUUUUUAAUGACUCGUUCGGCACCUUACCGGAAACCAAAGUGUUUGGGUUCCGGGGGGAUUAUGGUCGCAAGGCUGAAACCCCAAGGAACUGACGGAAGGGCACCACCAGGGGUGGAGCCUGCGGCUUAAUUUGACUCAACACGGGGAAA
RNAcentral lists this ribosomal RNA (588 nucleotides) under uncultured Glomus. Its description in RNAcentral is "SSU rRNA". It matches the Rfam family "Eukaryotic small subunit ribosomal RNA", at positions 624 to 1213 of the family's 1831-position model. Lineage: Eukaryota; Fungi; Glomeromycota; Glomeromycetes; Glomerales; Glomeraceae. The record is from RNAcentral.